Molecule: ribosomal RNA, 254 nt
Filed under: uncultured bacterium
Lineage: Bacteria
Description: partial 16S ribosomal RNA
Rfam family: Bacterial small subunit ribosomal RNA
Source: RNAcentral
UACGUAGGGGGCGAGCGUUGUCCGGAUUUAUUGGGCGUAAAGAGCUCGUAGGCGGUUCGAUAAGUCGGACGUGAAAUCUCCACGCUCAACGUGGAGGGGCCGUUCGAUACUGUCGUGACUCGAGUCCGGUAGGGGAGUGUGGAAUUCCCGGUGUAGCGGUGAAAUGCGCAGAUAUCGGGAGGAACACCGGUGGCGAAGGCGACUCGCUGGCCAGCAACUGACGCUGAGACGCGAAAGCGUGGGGAGCAAACAGG